RNA transcript from Oryza sativa Japonica Group (Japanese rice), 1933 nucleotides. RefSeq lists it as uncharacterized. Lineage: Eukaryota; Viridiplantae; Streptophyta; Magnoliopsida; Poales; Poaceae. The record is from RefSeq and is a predicted model, not a curated record.
CACAUGUACCAUAGCAUUUGCCCUUCAGUGCACAAAAUUCAAUCCCCCGUUUCUCUCAUCCCCAGAUCUGACGAUGGCCGAUGUCACCGGCGGCCACUCCUCCCCUCCGGCGGCGGCGGCGGAGACCUUGCCCGACGACGUCCUCGCCGAGAUCCUCCUCCGCCUCCCGCCCCACCCUUCCUUCCUCUCCUCGGCGUCCCUCGUCUCCAAGCGCUGGCUCCGCCACACCCGCAACCCUAGCUUCCUCCGCCGCUUCCGCGAGUUCCACCGCACCGCCCCCGUGCUCGGCUUCUUCCUCAACUCCUCGCAUGGCGCCCUCUUCUUCCCCACCGACGCGCCCCUCUGCCGCAUCGCCGACCAGGUCGCCUCCCUCCGCAGGAACACGGGCGAUGGCUUGUGGUGGCUCGUCGGCUGCCGCCACGGCCGCGUCCUCCUCCGCAGCUGCGACUGGGCCAACCUGCUCGUCUGGGACCCCAUGACCGAGGGGUUCGUCUGCUUCCCCGCCCCCAUCCAGAUGGUCCAAGCCGACGCCGACCGCGACGCCGCCGUGUUCUGCGCUGCCUCCGCCGGCGACGAGGACCGCCGCUCCGGCGCCUUCAACGUCGCCGUCGUGUUCGUCAGCGGCGACCACGUGUUCGGCUGCAUGUUCUCCUCGGCGAUCGGCGCCUGGGGCGACGUGAUCUCGACGCCGGUGACUUUACCUCUGCUGAUGAUCUACGACGAGCCCGCUGCCCUUGCUGGGGAAGCCCUGUACUGGAUUGUUAAUGGCAGCAGCUUGCUCGAGUUCAAUUGCGGCAGCCAAAGUCUAGCUCUGAUCUCGCGGCCAUCGGAUAUGCCCGCAACCCACAGGUGGAACAUCCGUCCUGUGAGUUUGGAGGACGAUUUGCUUGGCCUCGCCUUUUUCAACGAUUUCUGCCUGCAUCUGUGGGUGCGGGAGGUUGCCGAUGAUGGCGCGACGAACUGGGUUCCACGCAAGUCCGUUGAGAUGGACAAGCUCCUUUCGCUGCCAGUGGCGACGGAGGACAGUCGGCGCCGUAUCGUGCCUGCUUGGAUAUGUGGGUUCUCUGGGGAUGGAAAUGUGGUGUUUAUUGGGACCCCUGCUGGCAUUUUCUUGGUUGAGCUUGACACGUUGAAGUUCAAGAAGGUGACUGAUGGUUCCCUACUCAUCAAGACUGUUCAUCCCUAUGAGAGCUUUUAUUAUGUUCCAAAUGAAAAAGGAGGAAAACAGGAGAGUGCUAUAGUGGGGAACCAGGUUUCUGAGGCAGGUGGCAAGUGAGAUCUUCCGCGCCAAGUUCAGAUGGAGACUGUGCUCAGGACAGUUGGAAGGAUGAACACAAAGGAGGAUGUCACUAUAUGUUGGGAGAAUUCACCAGAAAUCAAGUAGCAAGUGAGAUGUAUGGCGCAAAACCUGGCUGGAGGUUCGGAACUGGAAUGCUGGACUGAAUUUUGGCAAUCCUGGUGGUUUGACCAACAAAAUGAGGGGGAGAUGAAGUCCUGUGAUGCUUUAGUACCAUCAGAAGUUUUAGUUGUCUUAUUACAGAUGUUCUCGUUAGCUGUACUGAAAACUUGUAUAGGUUAUCCUAGUAGCAUCACACUGAUGGGAUGGCAUCUAAUUAAGAAGGGGUGGCAUAUGCUACACUUUUUCGUGAUGCCCAAUUUUGGCAGAGCAAAAGUGUCUAUGACACACUGUAAUUGUAUAGCAAAGAGUGUUUAUGAGAGGAUUCUGGGGUGUUGGAUGUAAAAUUCUCACUGAAGAACAGUUACAGACAAGCGACCGAAGAACGUGUGAUGUCACCGAAGCGUCGCUCGCCACUUGUGCCUGCAUUUUCCGCUUCAGCGAGCAGCCUUUAGUCAAUCCCCAUUCCUCACCCCAAACCUUAAUUCCCCAUUUUUGAGGUUGCGGCUGCCAUUGGGAAGCAAGAGCGUUCAGCUU